This 1065-nucleotide ribosomal RNA is filed under the name Phaeoisaria pseudoclematidis. Its description in RNAcentral is "SSU rRNA". It matches the Rfam family "Eukaryotic small subunit ribosomal RNA", at positions 729 to 1753 of the family's 1831-position model. The record is from RNAcentral. Lineage: Eukaryota; Fungi; Ascomycota; Sordariomycetes; Pleurotheciales; Pleurotheciaceae.
GGGUCGCCUCACCGCGUGCACUGGCCUGGCCGGGCUCUUCCCUCUGCGGAACCGCAUGUCCUUCACUGGGCGUGUCGGGGAGGCAGGACUUUUACUUUGAAAAAAUUAGAGUGCUCAAGGCAGGCCAAUGCUCGAAUACAUUAGCAUGGAAUAAUAGAAUAGGACGUUGGUUCUAUUUUGUUGGUUUCUAGGACCGCCGUAAUGAUCAAUAGGGACGGUCGGGGGCAUCAGUAUUCAGCCGUCAGAGGUGAAAUUCUUGGACCGGCUGAAGACUAACUACUGCGAAAGCAUUUGCCAAGGACGUUUUCGCUGAUCAGGAACGAAAGUUAGGGGAUCGAAGACGAUCAGAUACCGUCGUAGUCUUAACCAUAAACUAUGCCGACUAGGGAUCGGGCGGCGUUCUUUCUAGACCCGCUCGGCACCUUUCGAGAAAUCAAAGUGCUUGGGCUCCAGGGGGAGUAUGGCGGCAACGCUGAAACUUAAAGAAAUUGACGGAAGGGCACCACCAGGGGUGGAACCUGCGGCUUAAUUUGACUCAACACGGGGAAACUCACCAGGUCCAGACACAAUGAGGAUUGACAGAUUGAGAGCUCUUUCUUGAUUUUGUGGGUGGUGGUGCAUGGCCGUUCUUAGUUGGUGGAGUGAUUUGUCUGCUUAAUUGCGAUAACGAACGAGACCUUGACCUCUAAAUAGCUCGCACCGCCUCGGCGGUGUUGCGGCUUCUUAGUGGGACUAUCGGCUCAAGCCGAUGGAAGUUCGAGGCAAUAACAGGUCUGUGAUGCCCUUAGAUGUCCUGGGCCGCACGCGCGUUACACUGACAGAGCCAGCGAGUUUUUCCUUGGCCGGAAGGCCCGGGUAAUCUUGUGAAACUCCGUCGUGAUGGGGAUAGAGCAUUGCAAUUGUUGCUCUUCAACGAGGAAUCCCUAGUAAGCGCAAGUCAUCAGCUUGCGUUGAUUACGUCCCUGCCCUUUGUACACACCGCCCGUCGCUACUACCGAUUGAAUGGCUCAGUGAGGUUUUCGGACUGGCCCAGGGAGGCGGGCGACUGCCACCCAGGGCCGGAAA